Molecule: ribosomal RNA, 465 nt
Filed under: uncultured Aquamicrobium sp.
Lineage: Bacteria; Pseudomonadati; Pseudomonadota; Alphaproteobacteria; Hyphomicrobiales; Phyllobacteriaceae
Description: bacterial SSU rRNA
Rfam family: Bacterial small subunit ribosomal RNA
Source: RNAcentral
GCGCUGUGCGGCAGCUACACAUGCAAGUCGAGCGCCCCGCAAGGGGAGCGGCAGACGGGUGAGUAACACGUGGGAAUCUACCCAGCUCUACGGAAUAACCCAGGGAAACUUGGACUAAUACCGUAUACGUCCUUCGGGAGAAAGAUUUAUCGGAGUUGGAUGAGCCCGCGUCGGAUUAGCUAGUUGGUGAGGUAAUGGCUCACCAAGGCGACGAUCCGUAGCGGGUCUGAGAGGAUGAUCCGCCACACUGGGACUGAGACACGGCCCAGACUCCUACGGGAGGCAGCAGUGGGGAAUUUUGGACAAUGGGGGCAACCCUGAUCCAGCCAUGCCGCGUGAGUGAAGAAGGCCUUCGGGUUGUAAAGCUCUUUCAUUCGGGAAGAAAACGCACGCUCUAACAUAGCGUGUGGAUGACGGUACCGACAGAAGAAGCACCGGCUAACUACGUGCCAGCAGCCGCGGUAA